GUUUUUUCCUUCUAGGAAUUCGACUCAGCACUUCUCCCAAAAAGUAGGGCUGUUGCAGAGCUGAUAAGAUGNUUUCUGGAAGUUCUUCUGAUGAUGAAAUGGUAAUGAUUCAUCAUUCUAAGGAAAAAAAAGAAAGAAAGAAAGCGCCAACUGGAAACUGAGAGGUAUCAAGUCAGCUUUGCAGCUGUUUGGAGGAGUGGAUGUUGACCCUGCCUAAUGCCUUGGAGUAUUGCUGGAAGAAGCAAGCUGGAAAUCCGCUGUGUUUCAUACCCUAGGCCUGUCUCAAGUAACGCCCAGCCUCUGUCAAGGAACUCUUGUCCACGGCAAAGGAUUCUGGGGUGCCUUUUAGGAGAUGCACGUAUCGGUCCCAUGGAACAUCGCCCAGGCCUGAGGUUCACAGCUGCUUGUCAUCUGGCGGCCCAGGGAUGCUGUCCACGGCCUCGACCAUCCUGCGGC
RNAcentral lists this long non-coding RNA (456 nucleotides) under Salvator merianae (Argentine black and white tegu). Its description in RNAcentral is "lncRNA (ENSSMRG00000020251.1)". The record is from RNAcentral. Lineage: Eukaryota; Metazoa; Chordata; Lepidosauria; Squamata; Teiidae.